This 432-nucleotide ribosomal RNA is filed under the name Triticum aestivum (bread wheat). Its description in RNAcentral is "partial small subunit ribosomal RNA". The record is from RNAcentral. Lineage: Eukaryota; Viridiplantae; Streptophyta; Magnoliopsida; Poales; Poaceae.
AUGGCGGAAGAAGCCCCGACACCAGUUGUUGCCCCAGUAGAGGCACCUACCCCGGUUCUUGGUGAGCCGAUGGACUUGAUGACUGCUCUACAGCUUGUCAUGAAGAAGUCAAGUGCUCAUGAUGGCCUUGUGAAGGGGCUCCGUGAGGCUGCCAAGUCCAUUGAGAAGCAUGCUGCUCAGCUUUGUGUGCUGGCUGAGGAUUGUGACCAGCCUGAUUACGUGAAGCUCGUUAAGGCACUAUGCGCUGAGCACAAUGUUCACCUGGUUACUGUGCCAAGUGCUAAAACUCUUGGAGAGUGGGCAGGGCUUUGCAAGAUUGACUCUGAGGGCAAGGCAAGGAAGGUUGUGGGCUGCUCUUGCGUUGUUGUCAAGGACUAUGGUGAAGAAUCCGAGGGCCUUAACAUCGUGCAGGAGUACGUCAAGUCUCACUAG